This 253-nucleotide ribosomal RNA is filed under the name uncultured bacterium. Its description in RNAcentral is "partial 16S ribosomal RNA". It matches the Rfam family "Bacterial small subunit ribosomal RNA", at positions 524 to 776 of the family's 1533-position model. The record is from RNAcentral.
UACGGAGGGGGCUAGCGUUGUUCGGAAUUACUGGGCGUAAAGGGUGCGUAGGCGGCGCGGUAAGUCGGGGGUGAAAUCCUGGAGCUCAACUCCAGAACUGCCUUUGAUACUGGCGAUCUUGAGUCCGGGAGAGGUGAGUGGAACUGCGAGUGUAGAGGUGAAAUUCGUAGAUAUUCGCAAGAACACCAGUGGCGAAGGCGGCUCACUGGCCCGGUACUGACGCUGAGGUGCGAAAGCGUGGGGAGCAAACAGG